Long non-coding RNA from Dreissena polymorpha, 490 nucleotides. RefSeq lists it as uncharacterized. The record is from RefSeq and is a predicted model, not a curated record. NCBI's taxonomy places the organism in Eukaryota, Metazoa, Mollusca, Bivalvia, Myida, Dreissenidae. The transcript is spliced from 3 exons.
UUCUUGGUAAUUUUGGCUGUGUUUGUAUUGGCUUACGCCAUUGCUUCGUACUCUAUUCUCUACCCCAAUGCUCCAAUUACUUGGGAAACUGCUAGACAAAUAAUAAGAAAGCCUUACUUGCAUCUUUAUGGAGAACUCUUUCUAGACGAGACAGAAGAUUCAACGGAUUGUACAAAUGACACUAGCCUAUGGACGAACGGAACAAGUCCACGCUGCCCAAGCGAGACUGGCAAGAUUGUGGUCCCCAUCAUGAUGGGAAUUUACCUGGUGUUUUCCAAUAUCCUGCUUCUUAACCUUCUUAUUGCAAUGUUUAGUUUCACAUUUACAAAAAUCCAUGAGCAAUCAGACAAGAUUUGGUGUUUCCAGAGAUACUUUAUUAUCAAGGAUUACGCGCUACGGCCUGUAUUAUGCCCUCCUUUAAACGUGUUUUGGCUCAUAUACCAGCUGUUCCAAUGUUGUCUACAUAAAUGUAAAAGAUCUCAGGAUGAUC